UAUUCUGCCCCAUGGGGAAGGAUGAGAAGCUUCGACUAAGGUUCGACUCGAGCGCCAGCGAGAGAACGUUGCCACAGG
This 78-nucleotide small RNA is filed under the name Klebsiella pneumoniae. RNAcentral's name for it is "partial RtT sRNA". It matches the Rfam family "RtT RNA", at positions 1 to 76 of the family's 130-position model. Rfam says of the family: This family represents a bacterial cis-regulatory element known as RtT RNA. The exact function of RtT is unknown although it is thought that it may be involved in changing the cellular response in relation to amino acid starvation. The record is from RNAcentral. Lineage: Bacteria; Pseudomonadati; Pseudomonadota; Gammaproteobacteria; Enterobacterales; Enterobacteriaceae.